CAAUAGCGUAUAUUAAAGUUGUUGCAGUUAAAAAGCUCGUAGUUGGAUUUCUGGUGGGAGCGAUCGGUCUGGCGCUUAGCGCGAGUACUCGCAUCGUCUCCGGCCAUCCUUGGGGAGAGUCUGUCUGGCAUUAGGUUGUCGGGCAGAGGAUCCUCAUCGUUUACUGUGAAAAAAUUAGAGUGUUCAAAGCAGGCUUAUGCCGUUGAAUAUAUUAGCAUGGAAUAAUAAGAUAGGACUUUGGUACUAUUUUGUUGGUUUGCGCACCAAAGUAAUGAUUAAUAGGGACAGUUGGGGGUAUUCGUAUUCCGUUGUCAGAGGUGAAAUUCUUGGAUUUACGGAAGACGAACUACUGCGAAAGCAUUUACCAAGGAUGUUUUCAUUAA
Molecule: ribosomal RNA, 383 nt
Filed under: uncultured eukaryote
Lineage: Eukaryota
Description: partial 18S ribosomal RNA
Rfam family: Eukaryotic small subunit ribosomal RNA
Source: RNAcentral